This 323-nucleotide unclassified non-coding RNA is filed under the name uncultured fungus. RNAcentral describes it as "sequence contains ITS1". The stretch from base 1 to 106 matches the Rfam family "5.8S ribosomal RNA", at positions 49 to 154 of the family's 154-position model. Lineage: Eukaryota; Fungi. The record is from RNAcentral.
UAAAGUGCGAUAUGUAAUGCGAUCUGCAUGAAUCUGUGAGUCAUCAAGUUUUUGAACGCAACUUGCACCUCUCGGGCAACUGAGAGGUAUGUCUGUUUGAGUACCUAAUCUCCAUCUUGUCUCUAGUCAGAGGCAGACUUGAGGUCAUAGCUCGUUAAGAGGUAGACCUUUAAAUGAAGCAUGCUAAAGGCAUUGAAGACCUUGGCUAUGUGCUAGAGACCAGUCGGUCUUGUCAUAGCCAAGAACCUUUGUGCCUCGCUUCUGAAGAGGAGCAACGCCUUUAACUUGGUCUCAAAUCAGGCAAGACUACCCGCUGAACUUAA